RNAcentral lists this unclassified non-coding RNA (294 nucleotides) under Hevea brasiliensis (rubber tree). Lineage: Eukaryota; Viridiplantae; Streptophyta; Magnoliopsida; Malpighiales; Euphorbiaceae. The record is from RNAcentral.
UGAAGAGAGUCUUUCUCUGGCAAAGGAAUGAAGUAGGAAAGCCUUCUGCUUUCAUUAUUGGAAAACCAGUGAACUACUAGCAGAAGUAGCAGUGGAGACACCAUGAGAACCAGCUUCACUUGAUCGAACAUGCUCUCUAGCACUGGUUCGUAGUUCAUGUACCACGAGAAACCUAUCAGCAUGAGCAGUAUCAGAAGGAAGAAGCAAAGGUGCACAGGCAAAGGAGGCUGAGACUGUGGAGAUGAAUAAUUACCAUUUGCCAUUUUCUUGAAUGUCUUGGGACCCAAAAGGAAG